Molecule: ribosomal RNA, 503 nt
Filed under: uncultured bacterium
Lineage: Bacteria
Description: partial 16S ribosomal RNA
Rfam family: Bacterial small subunit ribosomal RNA
Source: RNAcentral
GAUGAACGCUAGCGGCAGGCCUAACACAUGCAAGUCGAGGGGUAGCAGGAUUAAGCUUGCUUAAUUGCUGACGACCGGCGCACGGGUGCGUAACGCGUAUGCAACCUACCUUAUACUGGGGUAUAGCCCGGAGACAUUCGGAUUAAUCCCCCAUAGUACUAAUGAAUCGCAUGGUUUAUUAGUUAAAGCAUUGCGGUAUAAGAUGGGCAUGCGUCCUAUUAGCUAGAUUGUGAGGUCACGGCUCACCAUGGUUACGAUAGGUAGGGGGCCUGAGAGGGUGGUCCCCCACACUGGUACUGAGACACGGACCAGACUCCUACGGGAGGCAGCAGUGAGGAAUAUUGGUCAGUGUGCGCAAGCCUGACCCAGCCAUGCCGCGUGCAGGAAGAAUGCCCUAUGGGUUGUAAACUGCUUUUAUUUGGGAAUAAACCUCUUUACGUGUAGAGAGCUGAAGGUACCAAAUGAAUAAGCACCGGCUAACUCCGUGCCAGCAGCCGCCGUAA